Molecule: long non-coding RNA, 1178 nt
Filed under: Nicotiana tabacum (common tobacco)
Lineage: Eukaryota; Viridiplantae; Streptophyta; Magnoliopsida; Solanales; Solanaceae
Description: long non-coding RNA (NTAB_LNC006290)
Source: RNAcentral
CAUAAUACUGACUGAAUGGAAAAGUUUAGCUUAGGGUUUAAAACCCUAAUGCUGACUAAAGGAAAAGAUCAGUUUAGGGUUUAAAACCCUAAUGCUGACUAAAGGAAAAGAGUUCAGUUUAGGGUUUAAAACCCUAAUGCUGACUAAAGGAAAAGUUCAGUUUAGGGUAUAAAACCCUAAUGCUGACUAAAGGAAAAGUGUUCAGUUUAGGGUUUAAAACCCUAAUGCUGACUAAAGGGAAGAGUUCAGUUUAGGGUUUAAAACCCUAAUGCUGACUAAAGGGAAAAAGUUCAGUUUAGGGUUUAAAACCCCUAAUCCUGAUUAAAGGGAAAAGUUCAGUUUAGGGUUUAAAACCCUAAUGCUGACUAAAUGGAAAAAUUCAGUUUAGGGUUUAAAACCCUAAUGCUGACUAAAGGGAAAAAGUUCAGUUUAAGGUUUAAAACCCUAAUCCUGAUUAAAGGGAAAAGUUUAGUUUAUGGUUUAAAACCCUAAUGCUGACUAAAGGGAAAAAGUCUCGAGGAUACUAACUGACUCCCUUUUUUUGAAUUUUCUUGUUUUAGUAAAAGAUAAAAGAGAAUUUCUUGAAAACUUACCUCUCGAGUGGAUUUCUUAUUGCCAAACUUGUUUCUUGUACUCAUGUACUUUCUUCUUUGGGUGACACCUGCUUCUUGCACGGUUGUCUUGGAUUAUACCUGUUUCAAUCUUUUCAAACAAAGAAACAAUUGUUAGCUCGGAAAUAGCGGUUGGUUCGGUGACCUUGAUUGUUCCAGUUGCUUUGUUGCGUCCUUAUUUCUGUUGAGAAGUCCUGCCAUUGAUUGGAUUAAAAUGGCGAAACCUUUUUAGACUUCUCAGGCUUGUAUUUCCAGAUUCUGUGAUGAUUUGCCUCGUAAGGCUCUUUUUCCAUCCGAUUUUGCUUGGGGAUUUUUCAACAGGGAUUUUAUUGGGGAUACUCUGUGGGUUUUUGUACAAGGCUGACUUGUGGGGGAUUUGUUGCAAAGCGGACUUGCCAGGAUUUGUUGUGAAAGCUCGCUGAGGAAUUUUUUUACAAAGGGAGGCUCUGUGGGGAUUUGUACAAAGGGAAGUUCUGUGGGGAUUUGUACGAGGCGGGCUUGCUGGGGAAAUUUCUCUCUUUUUUUUUUAAAUGCAGUCAAACAUCAUGAUUCAUCAGGUUUGGAAAA